GCGAGUCGAACGAUGAACCGCUUUCGGGCGGGGAUUAGUGGCGAACGGGUGAGUAACACGUGGGCAAUCUGCCCUGCACUCUGGGACAAGCCCUGGAAACGGGGUCUAAUACCGGAUAUGACUGUCCGCCGCAUGGUGGAUGGUGUAAAGCUCCGGCGGUGCAGGAUGAGCCCGCGGCCUAUCAGCUUGUUGGUGAGGUAGUGGCUCACCAAGGCGACGACGGGUAGCCGGCCUGAGAGGGCGACCGGCCACACUGGGACUGAGACACGGCCCAGACUCCUACGGGAGGCAGCAGUGGGGAAUAUUGCACAAUGGGCGAAAGCCUGAUGCAGCGACGCCGCGUGAGGGAUGACGGCCUUCGGGUUGUAAACCUCUUUCAGCAGGGAAGAAGCGAGAGUGACGGUACCUGCAGAAGAAGCGCCGGCUAACUACGUGCCAGCAGCCGCGGUAAUACGUAGGGCGCAAGCGUUGUCCGGAAUUAUUGGGCGUAAAGAGCUCGUAGGCGGCUUGUCACGUCGGUUGUGAAAGCCCGGGGCUUAACCCCGGGUCUGCAGUCGAUACGGGCAGGCUAGAGUUCGGUAGGGGAGAUCGGAAUUCCUGGUGUAGCGGUGAAAUGCGCAGAUAUCAGGAGGAACACCGGUGGCGAAGGCGGAUCUCUGGGCCGAUACUGACGCUGAGGAGCGAAAGCGUGGGGAGCGAACAGGAUUAGAUACCCUGGUAGUCCACGCCGUAAACGGUGGGCACUAGGUGUGGGCAACAUUCCACGUUGUCCGUGCCGCAGCUAACGCAUUAAGUGCCCCGCCUGGGGAGUACGGCCGCAAGGCUAAAACUCAAAGGAAUUGACGG
RNAcentral lists this ribosomal RNA (846 nucleotides) under actinomycete CXB528. RNAcentral describes it as "bacterial SSU rRNA". It matches the Rfam family "Bacterial small subunit ribosomal RNA", at positions 57 to 916 of the family's 1533-position model. The record is from RNAcentral. Lineage: Bacteria; Bacillati; Actinomycetota; Actinomycetes; Actinomycetales.